This is a long non-coding RNA of Etheostoma spectabile (orangethroat darter), 94 nucleotides long. RefSeq lists it as uncharacterized. The transcript has 3 exons. Lineage: Eukaryota; Metazoa; Chordata; Actinopteri; Perciformes; Percidae. The record is from RefSeq and is a predicted model, not a curated record.
ACAGCACUGUCAAUCAAUUUGUGUGUUUAAUGGUCUAAUCAUUACAGCUGGACUUUUAGGCCGUUACAUUGUUGGCUAAUUUACUUUAUAAUAA